UAUAGAGGAAUUCGAUCACAGGGAAAGACCAUGUAUAUGAGCUCCAAUUGUUAGGGUCACACAAUUAACCGCUACUGCUGAAUGCUUACCAUACCAAAGAACACUUAACUUUUCUUCCUACUGUCCACUCUCUCAUAUCAAUACGAUAACAACCAUGACAUCGAUUUCAGUACCUUGUGUAAUUCACAAACACACAAGCAUAAUCCAAACCUUGGAACGAACAACUUUCAAUCCACAGAAUCUGAUCGAAAUAAUUCCUUCGAUUACAAUUCCUCUCCACUGAACUCACAACCUUGCGAUAAACAAUGACUGGAAACUUCCAUACAUCAUCAAUCUUUCACAACAAUUGAUAAAUAGUGAUCCAUAAAUAACUUUGUAAAUCAAACAUUGAUUCAUUAAAUUGAUUCUCUUCACUACAAUCAACACUAACACAAAAGAAACAAAAAAACUAAGAAGAAGAGAUAGCACCAAGCUUACCACGGCUCAUGACUAUCACAGUCUGGCAUUUUCUUCCUCUCUCCCAUCCUCCUUAUACUACUCCAAGAUACCAACUCUUAUACUACGGAUGAUAAUUACUUUUCCUGACUAUUCAUCUAUUCUACCUACUGAAUCACCUUUUCAACAGUUAUCUAUCCUUAUUUAUACUAUACACUAGAUAUCUACAUUCUGAAAAUAACUACUUAUUCUACAUAGUCCCACUCCUAACUGUGCAGCAUCUCCGCAAACAUAAUAUUGAUAAACAAAAAC
RNAcentral lists this long non-coding RNA (747 nucleotides) under Physcomitrium patens. Its description in RNAcentral is "long non-coding RNA (PPAT_LNC006035)". Lineage: Eukaryota; Viridiplantae; Streptophyta; Bryopsida; Funariales; Funariaceae. The record is from RNAcentral.